UAUUCACCUGCCCCGACACUCUCUCUCUAUAUUGAAUGGCAAUCGCAAUCAGACUGAUAAUGGAAAACACCUUUCCGCUUAUCGAUUCAAUUAUCAGGCAAAAAGCAAACAAAGUUUCAGGAUUUCAAGCACAGCACAGCACAGCACAGUAUUGUAAUUAUUUUCUAUUUUAUUUUCGAAACUCUGGAUCCGCUGGCGGGGUUCAGUGCUCGACGGGCAUUAGAAGCUUAUUGCUGGAAGCGAGAAGCUCGCGGAGUGAGAAUCUCGGUUUGACGACGAUGGCAUUAUGCAAAUUUCCGGCGAUAAGCAGAGCAAAAAAAGUCAAGAAAAAAGCACUCGAAAAAGCAAAAAACCGGUAAGAGACGGCUGAGACGUCGCUUUGAAUACCCGCCCGUAAUUCCCGGCUGUAAGCCGAAGUAAUGUUUGAAUGUAUUUUCGAUUCUUGGAACUAAGAAAUGGGACGAAUGGAAAAAUUUGUAGGUUUCGGUUUCAGGGAACCCCUUUUGCAUUCCAAGAUUACCUUCAGAGAUAUUUAUAAACUGAUUCAAUGGGCUGGGGCGAGCAUAUGCCGUAGAUUUCUCAAUGGAACCAGUUUGGAAACAAAAAACAAUACAGAAGCCAUCGGCCAGACUGGCAAUCAUUUAAAUUCUUAUGUUCUACAAGCUUGUUUUUGAGUUUUGCAUCUAAAGCUUCCAUUGAAACUAAUCAGAAGCAACCAAUUAAUUUAAAACUUCUAACAAAUCUUUAAUAUUAAUGAAACAAACUAUAAGUAAAAAUAAAAAUUUCAAGUUAUUACCAGAAAAUAUUAGUUAUGUAAAAACCUUUUUUAUAAUAAAUGUAAUAGUUUUUGGUUAUAAAAAACAUUCUUUAUAAGCCAAUUACUAAAAUAAAGAGAUACUUUGAACUCAA
This is a long non-coding RNA of Drosophila ananassae, 909 nucleotides long. RefSeq lists it as uncharacterized. The transcript has 2 exons. The record is from RefSeq and is a predicted model, not a curated record. Lineage: Eukaryota; Metazoa; Arthropoda; Insecta; Diptera; Drosophilidae.